Molecule: ribosomal RNA, 376 nt
Filed under: uncultured bacterium
Lineage: Bacteria
Description: bacterial SSU rRNA
Rfam family: Bacterial small subunit ribosomal RNA
Source: RNAcentral
UAAUACGAAGGGGGCGAGCGUUGUUCGGAAUCACUGGGCGUAAAGGGCGCGUAGGCGGCGCGGGAAGUCAGGCGUGAAAGCCCCGGGCUCAACCUGGGAGGUGCGCUUGGGACUCUCGUGCUUGAGUUCGGGAGAGGAGAGUGGAAUUCCCAGUGUAGAGGUGAAAUUCGUAGAUAUUGGGAAGAACACCGGUGGCGAAGGCGGCUCUCUGGACCGAGACUGACGCUGAGGCGCGAAAGCGUGGGGAGCAAACAGGAUUAGAUACCCUGGUAGUCCACGCGGUAAACGAUGUGUGCUAGACGUUGGGGAGCCUAGCUCUUCGGUGUCGCAGCUAACGCUUUAAGCACACCGCCUGGGGAGUACGGCCGCAAGGUUA